GCCUCAGCAAGGCUGCUCCGGGCAAGGGAGGGAUGCCCUGCAAGUGAUACCAACAGCAGGGAUAGGGACAGGCUCAGCUUGAAAAAGGGGAAAGCAAAGCUGGCAAGGGGCCAGGCUGCAGAAAACAUGGGAAAAUCAAAGCCCACAGAACAGAAAAGGACAAAGAGAAGAAAUGGAAGGAUAAUUGCGGAUGGGGAGAUGAUGCCAACACAGAGGUGCAGUUUAUAGAUGCAUCAUGGUAUCCAGCCCCCGAAGGAUACUUUUAAAAGUGUAAGAAAUCAUUGCCUGCAUUUCCACUGAGACAGUUCUGCUGUCAGCAGACUCCAGUUCUUCUGGUCUCCUCCUCCCCUCCUUUUUCACAGAUUAGCUUCUCACUGAAAUGGAAAAUUGUCUUCAGACGAUGUUGGCAGAGGAAUCCUUAUAAGGAGUUUCAGCAAGUUGUGGCCUCAUUUAAGAGCACAGAUGGAAAGGGGGCACUGGAGGGCCAGCAUCCCUCCCUGGGGAGAAGGAGAGAGGAUGACACGUGUCAGCUCGCUGAGGUAAAGCAGGAACCCGUAUUUGUUUCAAACACCUUCUUUAAACAAUCAAGAAGAUCCUGUGUGGGGACUCCCUCAAGGAAGCCAAAUCCUGAGGACUUUGCGCUCUACCUCCAUCUGGGCAAAGCUGCUCCCUGCCUUUCCUUAUGAGGUUUUCCACAGCAGAGGGCAGGCAGAAGCCAUGGAGGAGCUCUGGGGACAGGGCUCUCUCCCUACUCCAGCAGCCUGCAGGCACCCUUGAGAUAUGUCCGAGAAGGAGAAGUCCGCUGGAUUUGACUGGGAGCCACCAGCCUGAUUCCAGCCAUAAUUCCAGCCAC
RNAcentral lists this long non-coding RNA (853 nucleotides) under Gallus gallus (chicken). Its description in RNAcentral is "lncRNA (ENSGALG00010014530.1)". Lineage: Eukaryota; Metazoa; Chordata; Aves; Galliformes; Phasianidae. The record is from RNAcentral.